This 1060-nucleotide unclassified non-coding RNA is filed under the name Stylophora pistillata. RNAcentral's name for it is "tyrosine-protein kinase shark-like, transcript variant X2". The record is from RNAcentral. Lineage: Eukaryota; Metazoa; Cnidaria; Anthozoa; Scleractinia; Pocilloporidae.
CUACUGUAUCAAAUGGUAAAGUUUACUUAUGGUGUUGGUUUGCAACAAUACCUUUGACUGAUCGACUUUCUGACUGACUGACGGACUAAGUGUAUUCAUCCAACUCACUUAGUGGGCCGGUUAUUUAAACGGAGUCUAAGUUAUACAAUUUUUAAGGCAAACACGCGGUUUAAAGGUUGUUUCAAUAGACAACGGUUAAAACAUGUUUGAAUUACUUAUUAACACGUGGCUGAUCCAUGUUUUUUGCAGUUAGGGGCGGGGCAAUGCAUGGUCUUUUGAGUGAUUUGCAUGUGCAUUUUGAAGGUUUUACCCAAAAUGGCCUCAAAAUCCGGCCAAACAGCAAAUUUUAGCGCAGAAGAAUUGCUGGUGGAAUCGCGAGGGUUAUUCUCAGGUAUAGAAAGUAAAGCAUAUGACAAUAAGAGAUUGACGAAAAAGGCAAAAGUGAGAAAGGAAAUUGAGAACACCAACCUCCGAGUAGGUCUUAGUCGCUACUGUUCUUUAACUUAAGCGGUGGUUAAACAUGGUUUGAACAAGGUUGUGGACAAUCAGAGUUUAAAUAAUUGGUUUCCUUAGUUUGAACAAGGGUUAGACGGUGACUUUCAUAACGCUGUAUAAACUUCGUUUGAAUAAUAGGCCUCUUAUGUUUAAGAUUUAUGGCAUCCCAUGAUCAAAGUCGUUGUUGUCCGGCAUUCCAAACUUCCUGAAAUAGAUAGCAGAGGAGCUUACAACUAAAUACUUAUCUCUUAAUGUUUCCACCUCAGGUCUUUACUACGUGCACAACUUGUCAGAUAAAGAGAGAGCGGAGAAAAAACUUUCAGACUGUGAUACAUUUUUGGACCCAGAUGACCUCCCGAGAAAAAGGCAACUGGGUCGGACUUCAGACUCUACAGUCAGCGAGAAGAUCAAAAGGACAGAUGAUCAUCACCUUAGAGGUCUCCUCGCCCUCAAACAUUCAAAUCUUGUUACCAUAUGGAGAAUAGACGGUUUGGAUUCACGCUUUCCAAUGGCAGAUGUCAUCUCCGAAGAGGCUCCUCUCGGUAAUUUGAACAACUAUGUUCUU